UCCUACGGGAGGCAGCAGUGGGGAAUAUUGCACAAUGGGGGAAACCCUGAUGCAGCAACGCCGCGUGAGUGAAGAAGGUUUUCGGAUUGUAAAGCUCUGUUAGCAGGGAAGAGGAAGGACGGUACCUGCAGAGGAAGCCACGGCUAACUACGUGCCAGCAGCCGCGGUAAUACGUAGGGUGCGAGCGUUAAUCGGAAUUACUGGGCGUAAAGGGUGUGCAGGCGGCUGAGUAAGACA
This 237-nucleotide ribosomal RNA is filed under the name uncultured bacterium. RNAcentral's name for it is "partial 16S ribosomal RNA". It matches the Rfam family "Bacterial small subunit ribosomal RNA", at positions 337 to 590 of the family's 1533-position model. The record is from RNAcentral.